GACGAACGCUGGCGGCGUGCCUAAUACAUGCAAGUUGAGCGAUGAAGCUUGGUGCUUGCACCAAUUUGAAGAGCAGCAAACGGGUGAGUAACGCGUGGGGAAUCUGCCUUUGAGCGGGGGACAACAUUUGGAAACGAAUGCUAAUACCGCAUAACAACUUUAAACAUAAGUUUUAAGUUUGAAAGAUGCAAUUGCAUCACUCAAAGAUGAUCCCGCGUUGUAUUAGCUAGUUGGUGAGGUAAAGGCUCACCAAGGCGAUGAUACAUAGCCGACCUGAGAGGGUGAUCGGCCACAUUGGGACUGAGACACGGCCCAAACUCCUACGGGAGGCAGCAGUAGGGAAUCUUCGGCAAUGGACGAAAGUCUGACCGAGCAACGCCGCGUGAGUGAAGAAGGUUUUCGGAUCGUAAAACUCUGUUGGUAGAGAAGAACGUUGGUGAGAGUGGAAAGCUCAUCAAGUGACGGUAACUACCCAGAAAGGGACGGCUAACUACGUG
Molecule: ribosomal RNA, 497 nt
Filed under: uncultured bacterium
Lineage: Bacteria
Description: partial 16S ribosomal RNA
Rfam family: Bacterial small subunit ribosomal RNA
Source: RNAcentral